This is a long non-coding RNA of Hyaena hyaena (striped hyena), 418 nucleotides long. RefSeq lists it as uncharacterized. NCBI's taxonomy places the organism in Eukaryota, Metazoa, Chordata, Mammalia, Carnivora, Hyaenidae. The transcript has 3 exons. The record is from RefSeq and is a predicted model, not a curated record.
GGACGCAGUGGGAGCCUGCAGCCUUCAAGUUAAACUGCUGCAGGCGGGCCAGGUCCGAGAACCCGGCAGAACGUCAACAGGGCCAGCCAGGAGAGUCCUGGCUUCACGCAGAAUGGACGUCAAACCAGGGGCGCCUGGGUGGCUCAGUCGGCCAUUCUUCAGAAAAUCCAGGGCCCCUGCGACGCGACAAGGCCACAGAGGAAUUUCCAGGAGUCCCAAUGCAACCAGUGAAGGAGCCCGGAGGUCAGGAAUCCCUGGCUGGGGACCAAGGAGCAUCUCAGCAGGUGCCUAUGAGGACCGACUAAGCAGCUGGGUGGCUCCCCUUGACUUUGACCACAUAAGCGGUCCCCUUUUCCCUCCACCUCCCUCUAGGACAUAAUCCCAGGGAAAGGACAGAGAGAAACUCUUACUAAGAAAA